RNAcentral lists this small RNA (29 nucleotides) under Bombyx mori (domestic silkworm). RNAcentral's name for it is "ovarian small RNA-3244". The record is from RNAcentral. Lineage: Eukaryota; Metazoa; Arthropoda; Insecta; Lepidoptera; Bombycidae.
UCAGCAGGGGCUUCACCGUCGAUGGCGUC